Molecule: ribosomal RNA, 480 nt
Filed under: uncultured bacterium
Lineage: Bacteria
Description: bacterial SSU rRNA
Rfam family: Bacterial small subunit ribosomal RNA
Source: RNAcentral
GAUGAACGCUGGCGGCGUGCUUAACACAUGCAAGUCGAACGAAGCAUUUAGAACAGAUUACUUCGGUUUGAAGUUCUUAUGACUGAGUGGCGGACGGGUGAGUAACGCGUGGGUAACCUGCCUUGUACUGGGGGAUAGCAGCUGGAAACGGCUGGUAAUACCGCAUAAGCUUACGGUACCGCAUGGUACAGUAAGAAAAACUCCGGUGGUACAGGAUGGGCCCGCGUCUGAUUAGCUGGUUGGCGGUGUAACGGACCACCAAGGCAACGAUCAGUAGCCGGCUUGAGAGAGUGAACGGCCACAUUGGGACUGAGACACGGCCCAAACUCCUACGGGAGGCAGCAGUGGGGAAUAUUGCACAAUGGGGGAAACCCUGAUGCAGCAACGCCGCGUGAGUGAAGAAGUAUUUCGGUAUGUAAAGCUCUAUCAGCAGGGAAGAAAAUGACGGUACCUGACUAAGAAGCACCGGCUAAAUACGUG